GCAACUUAAGCCAACAUUUGCAUGACUCCGGUGAGACAACAAGCAUUCUCUAGAUCAUUCCAAGUGGUAAUGGGCACCCUAUAAUGGUAGCCUAACAAUACUUGUUUCCAGGGAAGGAUCCAUUGCCAUGGUGUACUAGGGUACAAAUUGCCCUUGAUUCCGCUAGAGGCCUUGAAUAUCUGCAUCAUUUUACUGUUCCUGCUUAUAUUCAUCUUGAUGUUAAGCCAGCAAACAUAUUAAUUGACAAGAACUACCAUGGAAAGGUUGCAGAUUUUGGAUUGGCAAAACUAAAAGAUUUGGAUAGAAACGCACUGCCGAGCACACGUCAUCUUGUGGGUACAUUUGGAUACAU
RNAcentral lists this unclassified non-coding RNA (352 nucleotides) under Hevea brasiliensis (rubber tree). Lineage: Eukaryota; Viridiplantae; Streptophyta; Magnoliopsida; Malpighiales; Euphorbiaceae. The record is from RNAcentral.